This is a long non-coding RNA of Molossus molossus (Pallas's mastiff bat), 291 nucleotides long. RefSeq lists it as uncharacterized. The record is from RefSeq and is a predicted model, not a curated record. NCBI's taxonomy places the organism in Eukaryota, Metazoa, Chordata, Mammalia, Chiroptera, Molossidae. The transcript has 3 exons.
GUAAACAGAUGGGCUCAGUUUGCCUGUAGAACCUCAGGAUUACAGACACACACCCGGCAGCCUCGGACUAGUUCAUGGAGGAGCCUCGAGAGAUACUGUCCAGGCAGGCUCUCCCUUCCGUCGGGCAGAGCGGAGCGUGAGAGGAGGCGGCUGCAGCGGGAGUGGACAUGAACGCUGGUUUUCAAAGAGAACAGCGUUUUAGUUUUGGUCAUCGCAAGUGGUGCCUUCAGCACAGAAGAGCGUGAAUUCCCCUCUGCGGCUAUCGAUCUCCAACACGGGACUCGAGGGAAG